AAAGUCGUAACAAGGUCUCCGUUGGUGAACCAGCGGAGGGAUCAUUACCGAGUUUACAACUCCCAAACCCCAUUGUGAACGCUACCAUUGUUGCCUCGGCGGGAUCGCCCCGGGCGCGUCGCAGCCCCGGGCCAAGGCGCCCGCCGGAGGAAAACCCCCAAACUCUCAUGUUUAGGCCGCCCCCGCGCGGUCCGUAUUACCUCUGAAACCUCCUACGCUCCCCGGAGCGGAAGAAAAUGAAUCAAAACUUUCAACAACGGAUCUCUUGGCUCUG
RNAcentral lists this unclassified non-coding RNA (274 nucleotides) under Ascomycota sp. RNAcentral describes it as "partial contains small subunit ribosomal RNA, internal transcribed spacer 1, and 5.8S ribosomal RNA". The stretch from base 1 to 47 matches the Rfam family "Eukaryotic small subunit ribosomal RNA", at positions 1785 to 1831 of the family's 1831-position model. The record is from RNAcentral. Lineage: Eukaryota; Fungi; Ascomycota.